CGAGCGCAACCCUUGUCUUCAGUUACCAUCAUUCAGUUGGGGGACGUCUGGAGAGACUGCCCGGUGGACAAACCGGAGGAAGGUGGGGAUGACGUCAAAUCAUCAUGCCCCUUAUGACCUGGGCUACACACGUACUACAAUGGCGUAUACAACGGGAAGCGAAAUGGUGACAUGGAGCAAAUCUCACAAAGUACGUCUCAGUUCGGAUUGAAGUCUGCAACUCGACUUCAUGAAGUCGGAAUCGCUAGUAAUCGCGGAUCAGCAUGCCGCCGGUGAACUACGUUCUCGGGCCUU
RNAcentral lists this ribosomal RNA (294 nucleotides) under uncultured Erysipelothrix sp. RNAcentral describes it as "partial 16S ribosomal RNA". It matches the Rfam family "Bacterial small subunit ribosomal RNA", at positions 1093 to 1382 of the family's 1533-position model. Lineage: Bacteria; Bacillati; Bacillota; Erysipelotrichia; Erysipelotrichales; Erysipelotrichaceae. The record is from RNAcentral.